Molecule: long non-coding RNA, 126 nt
Organism: Xiphophorus hellerii (green swordtail)
Lineage: Eukaryota; Metazoa; Chordata; Actinopteri; Cyprinodontiformes; Poeciliidae
Exons: 3
Source: RefSeq, a predicted model, not a curated record
CCAAUAAAAUGUACACCUUAUUAUGUUUGGAAGUCAGCAUGACCGCAACUUGAGCACCUGAAGUACACAUAAAGAAAUGAGAGCUGCAGGGAAAAGUGGCUCUCUCUGAGAUGAAAGAAGAUGUUC